UGUAAGCCAGGUCGGUUUCUAUCUUUAUUAAAUUAAAAUAUUUUAGUACGAAAGGACCAAAUAUUUAAUAUAUUUAUAUUUUAAUUUUUGAAUAUUAGU
This 99-nucleotide ribosomal RNA is filed under the name Percus reichei. Its description in RNAcentral is "partial 16S ribosomal RNA". Lineage: Eukaryota; Metazoa; Arthropoda; Insecta; Coleoptera; Carabidae. The record is from RNAcentral.